UACAUCUAUACUACAAUUGUCAAAAAGAGGGUUUAAUUUGUGUGUCAAGUAAUUCUCACAUCAGUGGCCCGAAGAUGAGUUCCUUCUUCACUUGGUUGGUGGCAUGAAUGGCAAGUUGCCAAAUGAUAUUAGAGUACGGGUUGUACAUUUCAACACCUGGUUGGUGGCAUGAAUAAGAGUACGGGUUGUGCAUUUCAUCACCUGGCUGGUGGCAUGAAGAUGAGUUCCUUCUUCACAUUUCAUUACCUGGUUGGUGUCGAGUCACAUUGUAGCAAGUGUCGAGUGACACAAAGUAUGUUGAACCCUUUCGAAGCACAGUUGGCUUAUGUAUGAAUGUGUUGGAAUGUAUGAUUGAACGAAUAUACUGUGAAGUUGUUCGUUUAUUUGUAUAGUCUUGUUGACAUAUACUUAGACUUUGUUUCAUGUUGGAAACAUUCAUGUUGAAGCUUUGAACCCAAGUGUUUCAUUGCUAGGAAUGUAAGAGGAUUAGGACCG
This 495-nucleotide long non-coding RNA is filed under the name Malus domestica (apple). RNAcentral describes it as "long non-coding RNA (MDOM_LNC018527)". Lineage: Eukaryota; Viridiplantae; Streptophyta; Magnoliopsida; Rosales; Rosaceae. The record is from RNAcentral.